Molecule: ribosomal RNA, 497 nt
Filed under: uncultured bacterium
Lineage: Bacteria
Description: partial 16S ribosomal RNA
Rfam family: Bacterial small subunit ribosomal RNA
Source: RNAcentral
GAUGAACGCUGGCGGCGUGCCUAAUACAUGCAAGUCGAGCGAACAGACGAGGAGCUUGCUCCUCUGACGUUAGCGGCGGAUGGGUGAGUAACACGUGGAUAACCUACCUAUAAGACUGGGAUAACUUCGGGAAACCGGAGCUAAUACCGGAUAAUAUAUUGAACCGCAUGGUUCAAUAGUGAAAGGCGGUUUUGCUGUCACUUAUAGAUGGAUCCGCGCCGCAUUAGCUAGUUGGUAAGGUAACGGCUUACCAAGGCAACGAUGCGUAGCCGACCUGAGAGGGUGAUCGGCCACACUGGAACUGAGACACGGUCCAGACUCCUACGGGAGGCAGCAGUAGGGAAUCUUCCGCAAUGGGCGAAAGCCUGACGGAGCAACGCCGCGUGAGUGAUGAAGGUCUUCGGAUCGUAAAACUCUGUUAUUAGGGAAGAACAAAUGUGUAAGUAACUAUGCACGUCUUGACGGUACCUAAUCAGAAAGCCACGGCUAACUACGUG